AGGACUUCAAUAUGGUAGUCUGUUAGUAUAGUUGAAGGAUUUGGAAAAUUCCGCUAAAGAGGGUGAAAGCCCCGUAGACGAAAUGCUGACAACACCUAGGAGGAUCCUGAGUACGGCGGAACACGAGCAAUUCCGUCGGAAUCCGCGGGGACCAUCCCGCAAGGCUAAAUACUCCCUAGUGACCGAUAGUGAACCAGUACCGUGAGGGAAAGGUG
Molecule: ribosomal RNA, 215 nt
Filed under: Enterococcus faecalis
Lineage: Bacteria; Bacillati; Bacillota; Bacilli; Lactobacillales; Enterococcaceae
Description: partial 23S ribosomal RNA
Rfam family: Bacterial large subunit ribosomal RNA
Source: RNAcentral